RNAcentral lists this transfer RNA (90 nucleotides) under Thermoleophilaceae bacterium. RNAcentral's name for it is "tRNA-Ser". It matches the Rfam family "tRNA". From Rfam's summary of the family: Transfer RNA (tRNA) molecules are approximately 80 nucleotides in length. The record is from RNAcentral. Lineage: Bacteria; Bacillati; Actinomycetota; Thermoleophilia; Thermoleophilales; Thermoleophilaceae.
GGAGGGGUGGCAGAGCGGUCGAAUGCGGCGGUCUUGAAAAUCGCUGGCCGGGGUCCACCCGGCCCGGGGGUUCGAAUCCCUCCCCCUCCG